GGGGACAAUCGUGAUGCUCUCCACCAAAAUGUGGUGUUCGGGAGGUAUGGCUGUGCCUGAGGACACUUACACAGAGGAGAUGGCCACCCAUGCAGCUCAGAGGUUGGCCCCACAGAGGAGAGCAUAGAGGAGGGGUCAGAGGUACCCAGUGGUGGGCGCCAUCAGGUGAUACAGAAAAGCUUCACAAGGUUUUUUAGCAAGGUGGCAAAAACUGGAAAUCUGGCUUCAGCCCCAUGAUCCAGGGUGUCCGUGAUGUGUGCGGCUCUCUGAUGGACCCCGGAGAAGGCCCUGUCAAGGUGAUGCGUUCCACCCUUGACUUUGACCCAGCCCUCUGCUCCAUCUCCUUCCCUGAUGUCUUCUGCUGGCAAUGGAGCCAAGCACCAGGUCUCCUAGUACCCAGAUGUGUCCACUCCUCCAGACCUAAAACCCCCAGGCUUGGGAAGGGCAGGGAUCCUGGGCCUCUUGAAGUGGGUCGCCCUGGCAGGGCUGGAUGCGAAGCCUGGCACUUUCAGAGCCCUGUCAGCUGCCUCCCAUGUUCUGUGUGGUGAAGUUCCCCAGCAGUGUCAAUGUGCUAUUCAGGCUGACAGAAAUCCCACCGAUAAUUGGGAAGAGUGGAAAAUGAAAACAUUAAAAUUUGCCGUGUCAUCCGCU
Mus musculus (house mouse) is the source of this 651-nucleotide long non-coding RNA. RefSeq annotates it as predicted gene, 54111. NCBI's taxonomy places the organism in Eukaryota, Metazoa, Chordata, Mammalia, Rodentia, Muridae. The record is from RefSeq and is a predicted model, not a curated record. The transcript has 3 exons.